Non-coding RNA from Nicotiana tabacum (common tobacco), 648 nucleotides. NCBI's taxonomy places the organism in Eukaryota, Viridiplantae, Streptophyta, Magnoliopsida, Solanales, Solanaceae. The record is from RefSeq and is a predicted model, not a curated record.
ACAACCCCGUCGCGACCAGCUCUCAUCGAACGCUGCCAUCGCGUCCAGUCCGUUCUGCCAUCUUUCGUCGACGAUGCUGUCGAGUAUUAGCUUCGCGUCCAGCUCUCUCGUCCAUGGAUUUUGCUGCUCGAGCAUCACUUUUGCUGUGUCUGUUCCAUCGCUGCUUCUUCUGUCGAACGUACCCCAACUGCUUCUUUUUUGUAUCAACUGCUGCUAGUGUUUCCUCGGUGCUUCAGUUAACUUCUUAGAUUCGGUAAUCAUCGUUUGGUCGAGCUCGUCGUUGAGUUCGUCGUUGAGUCCGGACAGAUUUAUUCCCAUUUGAGGUUCGUCGAAACAGUCCAUACAAUCUCCGGUAUAUAUUUUAGACUCAUGUUGUGGAAAGCUUCAACAUUGCCAAAUAAAUGAAGUUCGGAAUUAUAAUUAUGUCUUUUACUCGUUUAAAUCUAUUAGUUUAAAUUUCAGUUUUGUUUCAGUUGGUUAAUAUAGUAUCUUACAUUUGAUGUGAGAAUUGUUAGUUAAUCAUCCCUUUGAAAUUCGCAUAAGCUUUGUAAUAAUGUUAUUUAUUUCAGAAUUUCAUUAAGUAUAGCUAUAUUCAAAUUAUAAGAUAGGGAACAUGGCAGAAAGCUAGCCAUUAAUUAAAUCUUAUGA